CCACUGCUGCAGAGUUCCAGAAUAGGACGAAACGGCCGUCCAGUGC
This 46-nucleotide non-coding RNA is filed under the name Schistosoma curassoni. The record is from RNAcentral. Lineage: Eukaryota; Metazoa; Platyhelminthes; Trematoda; Strigeidida; Schistosomatidae.